AUUGAACGCUGGCGGCAUGCCUUACACAUGCAAGUCGAACGGUAACAGGUCUUCGGAUGCUGACGAGUGGCGAACGGGUGAGUAAUACAUCGGAACGUGCCCAGACGUGGGGGAUAACGAGGCGAAAGCUUUGCUAAUACCGCAUACGAUCUAAGGAUGAAAGCAGGGGACCGCAAGGCCUUGUGCGUUUGGAGCGGCCGAUGGCAGAUUAGGUAGUUGGUGGGAUAAAAGCUUACCAAGCCGACGAUCUGUAGCUGGUCUGAGAGGACGACCAGCCACACUGGGACUGAGACACGGCCCAGACUCCUACGGGAGGCAGCAGUGGGGAAUUUUGGACAAUGGGCGAAAGCCUGAUCCAGCAAUGCCGCGUGCAGGAUGAAGGCCUUCGGGUUGUAAACUGCUUUUGUACGGAACGAAAUGGCUCUGGCUAAUACCUGGGGCACAUGACGGUACCGUAAGAAUAAGCACCGGCUAACUACGUG
RNAcentral lists this ribosomal RNA (482 nucleotides) under uncultured bacterium. Its description in RNAcentral is "partial 16S ribosomal RNA". It matches the Rfam family "Bacterial small subunit ribosomal RNA", at positions 30 to 507 of the family's 1533-position model. The record is from RNAcentral.